This 511-nucleotide ribosomal RNA is filed under the name uncultured bacterium. RNAcentral describes it as "bacterial SSU rRNA". It matches the Rfam family "Bacterial small subunit ribosomal RNA", at positions 19 to 518 of the family's 1533-position model. The record is from RNAcentral.
CUGGCUCAGGAUGAACGCUAGCUACAGGCUUAACACAUGCAAGUCGAGGGGCAGCAGGACGAUAGCUUGCUAUUGUUGCUGGCGACCGGCGCACGGGUGAGUAACGCGUAUCCAACCUUCCCCUUAGUAGGGCAUAGCCCGGUGAAAAUCGGAUUAAUACCCUAUGUUGUGUCAUGAGGACAUCUGAAUAACACUAAAGAUUUAUCGCUAAGGGAUGGGGAUGCGUCCGAUUAGGUAGUCGGCGGGGUAACGGCCCACCGAGCCCUCGAUCGGUAGGGGUUCUGAGAGGAAGGUCCCCCACACUGGUACUGAGACACGGACCAGACUCCUACGGGAGGCAGCAGUGAGGAAUAUUGGUCAAUGGGCGUAAGCCUGAACCAGCCAAGUAAGCGUGCAGGAUGACGGCCCUAUGGGUUGUAAACUGCUUUUAUACGGGGAUAAAGUGAGGGACGUGUCCCUUAUUGUAGGUACCGUAUGAAUAAGGACCGGCUAAUUCCGUGCCAGCCGCGGC